GUAGUCGCUUCGGCGGUACGUAUACUAAAAUUGGAACGAUACAGAGAAGAUUAGCACAGACCCUGCGCAAAGAUGACGCCAAAAUUCGUGAAGUGUUCCACAUUUUU
Small nuclear RNA from Schistocerca americana (American grasshopper), 107 nucleotides. Lineage: Eukaryota; Metazoa; Arthropoda; Insecta; Orthoptera; Acrididae. The record is from RefSeq and is a predicted model, not a curated record.